AGUGAACGCUGGCGGUAGGCCUAACACAUGCAAGUCGGACGGCAGCACAGGAGAGCUUGCUCUCUGGGUGGCGAGUGGCGGACGGGUGAGGAAUACAUCGGAAUCUACUCUGUCGUGGGGGAUAACGUAGGGAAACUUACGCUAAUACCGCAUACGACCUACGGGUGAAAGCAGGGGAUCUUCGGACCUUGCGCGAUUGAAUGAGCCGAUGUCGGAUUAGCUAGUUGGCGGGGUAAAGGCCCACCAAGGCGACGAUCCGUAGCUGGUCUGAGAGGAUGACCAGCCACACUGGAACUGAGACACGGUCCAGACUCCUACGGGAGGCAGCAGUGGGGAAUAUUGGACAAUGGGCGCAAGCCUGAUCCAGCCAUACCGCGUGGGUGAAGAAGGCCUUCGGGUUGUAAAGCCCUUUUGUUGGGAAAGAAAUCCAGCUGGCUAAUACCCGGUUGGGAUGACGGUACCCAAAGAAUAAGCACCGGCUAACUUCGUGCCAGCAGCCGCCGUAA
Molecule: ribosomal RNA, 506 nt
Filed under: uncultured bacterium
Lineage: Bacteria
Description: partial 16S ribosomal RNA
Rfam family: Bacterial small subunit ribosomal RNA
Source: RNAcentral